RNAcentral lists this ribosomal RNA (489 nucleotides) under uncultured bacterium. RNAcentral describes it as "partial 16S ribosomal RNA". It matches the Rfam family "Bacterial small subunit ribosomal RNA", at positions 30 to 507 of the family's 1533-position model. The record is from RNAcentral.
UUGAACGCUGGCGGCAUGCUUUACACAUGCAAGUCGAACGGCAGCACGAAAGAGCUUGCUCUUUUGGUGGCGAGUGGCGAACGGGUGAGUAAUGCAUCGGAACGUACCGAGUAAUGGGGGAUAACUGUCCGAAAGGAUAGCUAAUACCGCAUACGCUUUGAGAAGGAAAGUGGGGGCUCUUCGGACCUCACGUUAUUCGAGCGGCCGAUGUCUGAUUAGCUAGUUGGUGGGGUAAAGGCCUACCAAGGCGACGAUCAGUAGCGGGUCUGAGAGGAUGAUCUGCCACACUGGGACUGAGACACGGCCCAGACUCCUACGGGAGGCAGCAGUGGGGAAUUUUGGACAAUGGGCGCAAGCCUGAUCCAGCCAUGCCGCGUGUCUGAAGAAGGCCUUCGGGUUGUAAAGGACUUUUGUUAGGGAAGAAAAGGAUAGUGUUAAUACCAUUAUCUGCUGACGGUACCUAAAGAAUAAGCACCGGCUAACUACGUG